RNAcentral lists this ribosomal RNA (392 nucleotides) under uncultured bacterium. Its description in RNAcentral is "bacterial SSU rRNA". It matches the Rfam family "Bacterial small subunit ribosomal RNA", at positions 29 to 447 of the family's 1533-position model. The record is from RNAcentral.
AACGAACGCUGGCGGCAGGCCUAACACAUGCAAGUCGAACGCCGUAGCAAUACGGAGUGGCAGACGGGUGAGUAACACGUGGGAACGUACCUUUCGGUUCGGAAUAACUCAGGGAAACUUGAGCUAAUACCGGAUACGUGCGAGAGCAGAAAGAUUUAUCGCCGAAAGAUCGGCCCGCGUCCGAUUAGCUUGUUGGUGAGGUAACGGCUCACCAAGGCGACGAUCGGUAGCUGGUCUGAGAGGAUGAUCAGCCACACUGGGACUGAGACACGGCCCAGACUCCUACGGGAGGCAGCAGUGGGGAAUAUUGCGCAAUGGGCGAAAGCCUGACGCAGCCACGCCGCGUGAGCGAUGAAGGCCUUCGGGUCGUAAAGACUCUGUUGAAUGGGAAG